AUGGAUCACAAUGUCGACGAGACGGAUGCUCUAUUCACCGGUGAAGCCAUGAUGGUUUCCCCCGCACGCUCAACUGCCACUACCGUCAUCCCCAUGAGUAUUGCCACCGGCCUUUGCUUUCAAACUGGCAUUGCAGAAAUCAUUGAUAUUUUGUUAAACCAUAUUAAAUGUACAGGUUCAUCCAUCCACUCUCAUGCCUAUGACAAUUAA
This 210-nucleotide ribosomal RNA is filed under the name Triticum aestivum (bread wheat). RNAcentral's name for it is "partial small subunit ribosomal RNA". Lineage: Eukaryota; Viridiplantae; Streptophyta; Magnoliopsida; Poales; Poaceae. The record is from RNAcentral.